This 429-nucleotide ribosomal RNA is filed under the name Gemmatimonadota bacterium. Its description in RNAcentral is "Gemmatimonadetes bacterium partial 16S ribosomal RNA". It matches the Rfam family "Bacterial small subunit ribosomal RNA", at positions 355 to 776 of the family's 1533-position model. The record is from RNAcentral. Lineage: Bacteria; Pseudomonadati; Gemmatimonadota.
UAGGGAAUCUUCGGCAAUGGACGAAAGUCUGACCGAGCAACGCCGCGUGAGUGAAGAAGGUCUUCGGAUCGUAAAACUCUGUUGUUAGAGAAGAACAAGGACGUUAGUAACUGAACGUCCCCUGACGGUACCUAACCAGAAAGCCACGGCUAACUACGUGCCAGCAGCCGCGGUAAUACGUAGGUGGCAAGCGUUGUCCGGAUUUAUUGGGCGUAAAGCGAGCGCAGGCGGUUUCUUAAGUCUGAUGUGAAAGCCCCCGGCUCAACCGGGGAGGGUCGUUGGAAACUGGGAGGCUUGAGUGCAGAAGAGGGGGGUGGAAUUCCAUGUGUAGCGGUGAAAUGCGUAGAUAUAUGGAGGAACACCGGUGGCGAAGGCGGCUCUCUGGUCUGUAACUGACGCUGAGGCUCGAAAGCGUGGGGAGCAAACAGG